AUGCGCCAGAGGGUUUAUGAUAACAGAGCCAUGCGAGUGGUCAACAAUUUCUGGGAUUUCUAUACAUGCGCUGAGGGUCAGAAGGAUCGUGCAAAUGUGGUGGUUGAGAAUAUUGCCAAGAAACUAGUCCACGCCAUGCACUAUGAGGAGCGCGUCCGGUUAGUGGUCAAGUAUCACACGGACUAUCUCAAUCAUAGGAUUUCCAAACAGGAGGCUCGAGGGACGCAUCUUUCACGGGACAAUUACUUCAAGGCAAGCUGGGAGAAGAUUGUCGAACGGUGGACAGAUCCAGGGUGGCAGGAUGAACACAAAGAAAUAUCUGAACAAUAUAAGUUGAUGGGGGGUCGAGGACACCGUCAAGGCAACCUCACCAUCCCAGAAAGAAGACACUGA
This 393-nucleotide ribosomal RNA is filed under the name Triticum aestivum (bread wheat). Its description in RNAcentral is "partial small subunit ribosomal RNA". Lineage: Eukaryota; Viridiplantae; Streptophyta; Magnoliopsida; Poales; Poaceae. The record is from RNAcentral.